GGAGGGACAUUACUGAGUUACCGCUCUACAACCCUUUGUGAACAUACCUAACCGUUGCUUCGGCGGGCAGGGGAAGCCUCUCGCGGGCCUCCCCUCCCGGCGCCGGCCCCACCACGGGGACGGGGCGCCCGCCGGAGGAAACCAAACUCUAUUUACACGACGUCUCUUCUGAGUGGCACAAGCAAAUAAUUAAAACUUUUAACAACGGAUCUCUUGGUUCUGGCAUCGAUGAAGAACGCAGCGAAAUGCGAUAAGUAAUGUGAAUUGCAGAAUUCAGUGAAUCAUCGAAUCUUUGAACGCACAUUGCGCUCGCCAGCAUUCUGGCGAGCAUGCCUGUUCGAGCGUCAUUUCAACCCUCAAGCACCGCUUGGUUUUGGGGCCCCACGGCAGACGUGGGCCCUUAAAGGUAGUGGCGGACCCUCCCGGAGCCUCCUUUGCGUAGUAACUAACGUCUCGCACUGGGAUCCGGAGGGACUCUUGCCGUAAAACCCCCAAAUUCUUUACAGGUUGACCUCGGAUCAGGUAGGAAUACCCGCUGAACUUAAGCAUAUCAUA
RNAcentral lists this ribosomal RNA (555 nucleotides) under Colletotrichum acutatum. RNAcentral's name for it is "eukaryotic LSU rRNA". The stretch from base 194 to 347 matches the Rfam family "5.8S ribosomal RNA". The record is from RNAcentral. Lineage: Eukaryota; Fungi; Ascomycota; Sordariomycetes; Glomerellales; Glomerellaceae.